This 557-nucleotide long non-coding RNA is filed under the name Mustela putorius furo (domestic ferret). Its description in RNAcentral is "lncRNA (ENSMPUG00000028402.1)". Lineage: Eukaryota; Metazoa; Chordata; Mammalia; Carnivora; Mustelidae. The record is from RNAcentral.
CCUUCCCUGUCCUUGAAUCAGGGCUGGCCUUAGUGACUUGCUCAUAACCAACAGAAAUACAGCAGGAGUGACACUGCUGACAUCCGAGAAGCGUGGUAAAAUGCAAUCCAGCUCUCACCUUGCUUCUUUGGACACCUGACCAUCUAAGAUUUGUGACUUCUCCAGGAGGUCACACUCUAGGAAAGCCCGGGCUGCAUGGAGAAGUCACUGUCUGCACUCUGGUUGACGGUCCCCGCUGAGGUCCCAGUCACCAGCACCAACCGCCAGCGUCCAAGGGCUCCAGCCAGCACACCCAGUCCAGUGGAGUCUUCAGACCCUGCAGUACCCACGGACAGCUGACGGCAACCAUCUGGGAGAUGCCAAGCCAGACCUACCUUGAGGCAGAGAUCCCGAGAGCACGCCUCAGUGAAAGUCUCGCAGGGAGAUCUCCAUCAGGGUUUGUGUUCCAGAGAAGUGUAACGAACUACUGGCACCAGGAUUGGCCCAAGGAAGGAGAUUCUUCACCGGGUCACCAGCUGGCCUCCUGUUGGUAAGGAAACCUUCUCUGAGGGGAGGGG